This 515-nucleotide ribosomal RNA is filed under the name uncultured bacterium. RNAcentral describes it as "bacterial SSU rRNA". It matches the Rfam family "Bacterial small subunit ribosomal RNA", at positions 28 to 532 of the family's 1533-position model. The record is from RNAcentral.
GAUGAACGCUAGCGAUAGGCCUAACACAUGCAAGUCGAGGGGCAUCACAUGAAGUAGCAAUACGGAUGGUGGCGACCGGCGCACGGGUGAGUAACACGUAUGCAACCUGCCUUCAACAAGGGGAUAACCCGUUGAAAGACGGACUAAUACCCUAUAACACAGGGGUCCCGCAUGGGAAUAUUUGUUAAAGGACAACCGGUUGAAGAUGGGCAUGCGUUCCAUUAGCUAGUUGGCGGGGUAACGGCCCACCAAGGCAACGAUGGAUAGGGGAACUGAGAGGUUUAUCCCCCACACUGAUACUGAGACACGGACCAGACUCCUACGGGAGGCAGCAGUGAGGAAUAUUGGUCAAUGGACGCAAGUCUGAACCAGCCACGUCGCGUGAAGGAAGACGGCCCUACGGGUUGUAAACUUCUUUUAUACGGGAAUAAAGUGCCCCACGCGUGGGGUUUUGCAUGUACCGUAUGAAUAAGGAUCGGCUAACUCCGUGCCAGCAGCCGCGGUAAAUCACACUA